GUCAGUUGCUUAAUGUUGCCCCCACAAACAUAACCUUUCUAUGUAUGCAUGUUUAAUUUGGAGUAACUUUAAUACACUUACACCUACGUAACACGUAUUGUCCUUCGACCCACUGAAGGUAUGUGGUACUGUUGACACAAUUACUAUGAAUAACCUGCUUGAAACUCGGUUGCGAAACGCAGGUAGUGAUGCUUUAUUUCAGUAUGAUUUCGGGUCGAAACGGUUCGCAUCGAAACGGUUCGAUCCGAAACGGUACGCGUCGAAACGGUACUGGUCGAAACGAGCUUCAUUGGUGCCAGGAAGAACGAGCUUCAUUGGUGCUGAUAGUCUUCAGAUUUAUAGUUAACUGGAAAAACAAAUUAUAUAUUUUUUUAUGAUUUCAUAGGUGAUUGUUAUGAACGCUUAAUUGAUGUAGAUAAAAGGGAACAAACGCGACAAACAUUGUCAUGGAGCUUGUGACGAAGGAAAAGUUGGUAAUGAAAUUUUGCUUUGAGAGACAUAGCGUAGGGGUUUGGACAUCAACAAGAAGGUGCUCUAUUACGACUAAAUUAUUUUUUGAGCUUUUCUCACUUGUAUGUAUAGAUGAUCAAUUUACUUGUAAAGAGGUGGAUUUGGGUUAUGUUUCAUCUCGAACGGGUCAAAUGGCGAUUUAAAAGAGUUAGGUCAAAAGGAGUCUUGGUUGUAAGUUUCCAAAGUGUACUGAAAUAAUAUAAGUAAUCGGGUUUGGCACAUUUAAUUA
Molecule: long non-coding RNA, 739 nt
Organism: Helianthus annuus (common sunflower)
Lineage: Eukaryota; Viridiplantae; Streptophyta; Magnoliopsida; Asterales; Asteraceae
Exons: 2
Source: RefSeq, a predicted model, not a curated record